Molecule: ribosomal RNA, 497 nt
Filed under: uncultured bacterium
Lineage: Bacteria
Description: partial 16S ribosomal RNA
Rfam family: Bacterial small subunit ribosomal RNA
Source: RNAcentral
GACGAACGCUGGCGGCGUGCCUAAUACAUGCAAGUUGAGCGCUGAAGGUUGGUACUUGUACCAACUGGAUGAGCAGCGAACGGGUGAGUAACGCGUGGGGAAUCUGCCUUUGAGCGGGGGACAACAUUUGGAAACGAAUGCUAAUACCGCAUAAGAACUUUAAACACAAGUUUUAAGUUUGAAAGAUGCAAUUGCAUCACUCAAAGAUGAUCCCGCGUUGUAUUAGCUAGUUGGUGAGGUAAAGGCUCACCAAGGCGAUGAUACAUAGCCGACCUGAGAGGGUUAUCGGCCACAUUGGGACUGAGACACGGCCCAAACUCCUACGGGAGGCAGCAGUAGGGAAUCUUCGGCAAUGGACGAAAGUCUGACCGAGCAACGCCGCGUGAGUGAAGAAGGUUUUCGGAUCGUAAAACUCUGUUGGUAGAGAAGAACGUUGGUGAGAGUGGAAAGCUCAUCAAGUGACGGUAACUACACAGAAAGGGACGGCUAACUACGUG